CAGCGCCACAAGUGGGGACCAGUAUUAUUGGGCCUAAAGCGUCCGUAGCCGGAUAAGUAAAUCCUUUGUGAAAUCGUGGGGCUCAACCUUACGGCGUGCAGAGGAGACUGCUUAUCUUGAGACCGGGAGGAGUCAGAGGUAUGCAUGGGGUAGUGGUAAAAUGCAAUAAUCCCAUGUGGACCACCUGUGGCGAAGGCGUCUGACUAGAACGGCUCUGACGGUGAGGGACGAAAGCUGGGGGAGCGAUCCGGAUUAGAUACCCGAGUAGUCC
This 271-nucleotide ribosomal RNA is filed under the name uncultured archaeon. Its description in RNAcentral is "partial 16S ribosomal RNA". It matches the Rfam family "Archaeal small subunit ribosomal RNA", at positions 477 to 747 of the family's 1478-position model. The record is from RNAcentral.